CCCUUAGAUGUUCUGGGCCGCACGCGCGCUACACUGACUACUUCAACGAGUUGUUUCCUUGAUCGAAAGGUCUGGGUAAUCUUUGAAAGGUAGUCGUGAUGGGGAUAGAUCCUUGCAAUUUUUGAUCUUCAACGAGGAAUUCCUAGUAAACGCAAGUCAUCAGCUUGCAUUGAUUACGUCCCUGCCCUUUGUACACACCGCCCGUCGCACCUACCGAUUGAAUGGUCCGGUGAAUCUUUAGGACUGUGGCUGAGGCCUUGCCUUGUGCGGGGCUGGCCGUGGGAAUUUAGUUAAACCUUACCAUUUAGAGGAAGGUGAAGUCGUAACA
Molecule: ribosomal RNA, 328 nt
Filed under: uncultured eukaryote
Lineage: Eukaryota
Description: partial 18S ribosomal RNA
Rfam family: Eukaryotic small subunit ribosomal RNA
Source: RNAcentral